Apis laboriosa (Himalayan honeybee) is the source of this 3123-nucleotide long non-coding RNA. RefSeq lists it as uncharacterized. Lineage: Eukaryota; Metazoa; Arthropoda; Insecta; Hymenoptera; Apidae. The transcript has 5 exons. The record is from RefSeq and is a predicted model, not a curated record.
CGACAAUGCUGUGACGAAAGUUAGAAACACGACACACGUGGCCAGAGCUUGUGCCAUUCCACGAUUCUCGAAUACGUGCACCGCAAAAUCUCGAAGACACUGUGGCACUGUCUAAAGAAACAGAAAUUAAUAUAGACUAUGGACAACGAUACUAACCAGGCGAAUAAUUUAUUCAAUAAUUUGACAACCUCCUCGGCAGUGCAUUGAUCCGACAAGGAAGUGAAUCCACAAAUGUCGGCGAACAGGAUGCUGGAAAACGAUUACCAAGAUGUAUUCUUCUCGGUUAGGUUCCGGUCGAUGACAUUUAUACGUAAUGUAUAUCUGUUCUGAGUGGAACGAGGAAGAAUUGGUCAGACUUUGAAAUACAGACAUAUCGAAAUAUUACUAGAGGGAUUUACUAAAGCAAUGGAACUUUAGUGGACAGAAAGUGAUUAAUGGAGGAAUUGGUCCAUCAGAUCCUUGGAAUAAUGUUCAAUUUAUGAAAGCAAUUGAUUAGAUCUUAGAAUAUAAUCCAAUUUAUAUAUUAAAACGUUAUUAAAGGUAGUCAAGUAAAUGGACAAGAAGUGAAGAAAUUGGAAUAUAACAUUGCUCAAUUUAUGAGAGAUAUUAAUAUUAUUAAAGAGAUCUUUCAAAGAAUAAAUAAUGAGUAAAAAGUGAUAAGUACAAAAGUUGAUCAGACUUGAAUGUAACUCAACUUAUGAGAUACAUUGAAACAUUAUUAAAAGGAUAAAAUAUUGAUUUGGGAGAAUUGGUCAGGAAUUGGUCAGAUCUUAUUGCUUAAUUUAUGAGAGAUAUUAAAACUAUUAAAGAAAUCCUUUAAUGGAUAAAAAAUAAUUACUGCAGGAAUUGAUAUACUGAUCAAGAAAUGAAAUGCAAUAUUAAUAAAAGGAUUUUCCAGAAGAAAAUAAUGAAUAAAAAGAAAAUAGUAAAAAUUAGUCAAACAUUGGAAUAGUGAAACAUUACUGGAGAGACUUUCUAACAAACUAGGUGAAAUUUUACAAAAUACUGGUAUUCAUGACAACUUGCUGACCCACUACCAAGCAGUCAUAGACGAAUGGAGAUGAUACUUCACCUAGUCCCAUAUUGUGAGGGAUUAAGGGCAAUAAGUUCAAAAAUACUUAAGGUUUCUAUACUGGACACGAACACGACAAUAAAGUUUCUCCAUUUUACUUCCAUACCAAGAUUACUUUUCAUAUGAAAUUGAAACUAUAUAUACUGAAGCUAUAUAUAAUAAUUCGAUAUGAUGAUAGAGAAUCUAAUCAAAUUCUCAACUUACACUUUCAUCUGUAGUAAUAGAUAGAUGUUAAUACAUGUAUAUUAGCAAAAGUUUAAUAUUAAUCAAAUUUUGUAAAAUAUAAACAAUGAAAGAAUAUGUGUAUCUAUGAAAGAUCGUAGAUUAAUGAACUAUUUAAAGUUUAGCAUUAAGUGGAAUUCUACAUUAAACGAAAGGAUGAAGAAAUUUGAUGAAAGUGCAUAUCUCCUAUCUCGAUUUGAUUAAUCGACCAGAUUAUUUUUAGCGGCUGGGUUCCAUUAAGAACGGUGGAAGUUUGUUAAAGAUACCGAGUUAUCGGGCAUCGCUUAUAAUCCCAGCCAACAUUCUACCCGUGACCUGGCCCAUUGUGCACUUUAAUCAGAAUCAAUCUAUCAUGGAUUUGUCCAUUUGGUGUCUAUCAUUUAACUUUCGGUGAAGUAUUAUUUUAUAUUUCGCAUUCUAUGAAUCCCAAAAAAUUCAUGGAAUAUAGUAUAUAAGUUCAAUAUAGUAUUAGCAAUUUCAAUAUAGUAUUAGCAAUCAUUUUUUGCAAAUAUUUCGAAAACUAAGGAUCACAAUCGAUUAUAUAUUUGAGAUCUUCUGCAAUGCGUUUAAAGAUUGUCGAAAUAGGAGUGUUACGUGUCGACAGUUUCAUCAUGUAUUAUCGUAUCAAUUGUACGAUGAGAAUUGAUAAAAAUUUAUAACGAUAUCUUCAUCAAUUUUUCGUGUCGCUCGUGCGAGAUAGAGAGAUCUAGGGACUUUGGGUCGCAGCAGUUGUUAAAUGGAAAAUUUGUUGAACCGUAACGAAAACCCUACGGCUAUUUACGAAACCUCGAUUCGUAUCUAUCUGCAUGUGAUGUUUUCCCAUUGCCAAAAUUUCGACGAUGCACGCCUAAAAUUUUUAUAAAUCAAAAAAUAUAAUUUAUUCCCAAAUAUUCUUAAAUCUAUUAUCCAUUAAUAUUCAAAUAUCUGUAUAUUUUCGUAACUUCGCUCCACUAGUUGAUUAUUAUGGAAAUUAUUCACCAAAAUAAUUUUGGAGCAACUUAAUAUUGCGCUGACAUAAUUUUGAAUUAUACGAUCGACUAUAUGGAUAUGGAGUAUAUAUAUAUAUAUGUUAUAAUAAUUAGAGAGAAAAUUGCAGAGACAGUUUGCUAUACGUUGUCCAUUAUAUUAAUAAACAAUUGGGAGAGUGCAUUAAUUAUCGACCUACAUGUGCAAAAGGUUUAAUGAUCAAAAUUUGGUUAGGUACUCUCUAUCGAACUCGGCCUUAAAUACGUUACUGAUAACUAGUCGAUUUUCUAAGUUGGUAAUUUCAAUGUUCCUAGAUACUAUAUUAUCAAACUUAUGUUAAAGAUUGAUUAAUUAAUACCAAGAUUAAAUAAAGAUACUUGUAUGAGAUACAUAUAUCUUUUUAAUCUUUUUAAUCUUUUUUAAAAUAAUUUUGCUUUUAAUUUUAAAGUCGUUUUCGUUAGAAAAUUUUUUUCUCCGAUCUGUUUUGCAAAUGUUUAUGUCAAAAUUUGAAAAUUUUGUAAUACGAAUAAACUGUAGGAAAAUGAUUUUCCAUGAAAAUAAUUCCUAUCCUUGAUUGAAAUUGAAUUUUUACGAGACUAAAUAUUUAAAAUUUAUGAUUUAACGAAAAUAAACUGCGAAAAAUCGUUCGGUGAAAUUUAUCGAUAGGUCGACAGAAUUUUGUGCAAUACUUUUUUACAUAUUUUCAUAUCAAACAUAACUUUUUGUUAGAAGCAAUUUUCACCGUGUAAAAAUAAAAAUUUCUCGGUUUUAACGAUUAUCUCGUGAAAAUUCCAAUAACCAAAAUGAAGUUUUGAAUCAAAUAACACUUUUGAACAAUGUAUUUUAAUUUAACGAACAUAGAU